GUAUCAUGGCUCAGGAUGAACGCUAGCUACAGGCUUAACACAUGCAAGUCGAGGGGCAGCAUGGUCUUAGUUUGCUAAGGCCGAUGGCGACCGGCGCACGGGUGAGUAACACGUAUCCAACCUGUCGUCUACUCUUGGACAGCCUUCUGAAAGGAAGAUUAAUACAAGAUGGCAUCAUGAGUCCGCAUGUUCACAUGAUUAAAGGUAUUCCGGUAGACGAUGGGG
RNAcentral lists this ribosomal RNA (225 nucleotides) under uncultured bacterium. RNAcentral describes it as "partial 16S ribosomal RNA". It matches the Rfam family "Bacterial small subunit ribosomal RNA", at positions 14 to 230 of the family's 1533-position model. The record is from RNAcentral.